Anguilla anguilla (European eel) is the source of this 3648-nucleotide RNA transcript. It is a transcript of the gene named prolyl hydroxylase EGLN3-like, with no coding region annotated. The transcript is spliced from 5 exons. The record is from RefSeq and is a predicted model, not a curated record. NCBI's taxonomy places the organism in Eukaryota, Metazoa, Chordata, Actinopteri, Anguilliformes, Anguillidae.
AUGUGGGCCCCAAACUUGUCCUGCCCUCUGCUUGCUGACGUCAGGUGGCUAGGGUUUGUUCGGACUACGUGAGGAGCUGAAAAGGAAAGCAGCGCCAUGCGAUUCCCUCGGGCUCUGAUCGAGGGUCACGAAACGCUCUGAAGUGAACCGACAGUUGAAGACGUCGUUGUCGAAUGUCGGUUUUAUACACCUAUUCAAUUCACGGAGAAGCUAGCUGACAUUUUUCGUGAUGAAAUUCAUUAAGCCGAGAAACGGAUGAGGCAGCUACGUUGUCUGUUUCUCGCUUGUUGUGGUGUGACUGGUGGAACACUUCCAAACUUAGCUUCUGUAACGCUGCAAGCAUGGAAGAGGAACGCAGACUGGAAAACUCGGUCGACCUGGAGCGGGACCGACAGUACUGUGAGCUUUGCGGGAAGAUGGAGAACUUGCUCAAAUGCGGCCGAUGCCGAAACUCCUUCUACUGCAGCAAGGAGCACCAGAAACAGGACUGGAAAAAGCAUAAGCAGAUUUGCAAGGAGGCCGACAAAUCACAGAGUGCUCCGCAACCCGAACCACCACAGCAGGCGUCCCGGGACGGAAAACCAGGACAACGGCAGCUGUUGCAAAAGAACGGCGCGGAACAGGACAGCACGGCUUCCCAAAGCGCAGCGGACUCUGGGCCCAUCAACCCACCGGCGGACGAGCGAAGAGUGGGAGAUUUUAUCACUUGUUCUGAGGGCUCUGGUAGUACUACCGCCGACAGCAAGCAGGGAGGAGACGGGGUUAACAAUAACACGAAAGCCAACGGCCAAACGAGAUCUUCUCCGCAAAAACUAGCUUUGGAAUACAUAGUUCCAUGUAUGAACAAGCACGGAAUAUGCGUUGUAGAUAACUUUCUUGGAGAACAGAUCGGACUGUGCAUUCUGGAGGACGUGAGAGCCCUUCACCAAACCGGUAAAUUCACUGACGGACAGCUGGUCAGUCAGAGAAGCGACUCUACCAGAGACAUACGGGGAGACAAAAUAACGUGGAUUGAAGGAAGAGAACCGGGGUGCCAGAAGAUAGCUUUUUUAAUGAGUCGCAUGGACGAUCUGGUCAGACACUGUAAUGGGAAACUUGGAAGCUACAGAAUUAACGGAAGGACAAAAGCUAUGGUGGCGUGUUACCCCGGCAACGGCACAGGCUACGUACGUCACGUGGACAACCCAAACGGAGAUGGGAGAUGUGUCACCUGUAUAUAUUACCUUAAUAAAGACUGGGAUGCCAAGAAACACGGAGGUCUGCUCCGGAUCUUUCCGGAAGGAAAAGCCCAGUUCGCCGACAUCGAGCCCAAAUUUGACAGGCUGCUGUUUUUCUGGUCGGACCGACGCAACCCUCACGAAGUGCAGCCGGCCUACGCCACUAGCUGGAUAUCUCCUCUGUCUGCAGGUAUGCCAUAACCGUCUGGUAUUUUGAUGCUGAAGAGCGAGCAAGGGCUAAAGAGAAAUACCUAACAGGUACUGGAGAGAAGGGGGUGAAGAUGGACCUGAAUAAAGCCUCGGACCCCAGCUAGUAAGACGGAGGGGGGGGGCGACUCAAAACCCCCACCCGCUCCACCUCCCUGGCACAUCUGCUGAGUUCUGGAAAAUCGUGGAUGAGAGUGAGAGAGAGGAAGAGGAGAAAGCGAGGGAGAGGGAGGGAGAGAGAGUGAAAGAGAGAGAUGAAAUGUCAGGGGAAACUGGACACUGACCUGCGUCUGCUCUUGCUCCUCACAUCUAACACUGCUAAACGCACUGACCAUGAAUGUGGUGAUGAUGAUGAUGAUGAUGAUGAUGAUGAUAAAGCUGCACUGCAAGGACUGUUAAUUCUCCAUGCCCUCUGAAUUUGCGUAUUUGUUUAAUUUCUUUUUUUUUUCUUUUUGCGAGGAAUUCUGACAGCUGGGGUAAAAUGUCACCUGAUGAUUGGAUCUAAACUGGGGAGGAAAUGUAAGGUUUAUUCAGAGAACAAGCUCUCCCAGUCACAUCAGCUUAUUGGUUGAGUUUACCGUCCCAUUUUGUUUUCAUGCUAACUCCUUAAAUAAAAAAAGGUACAGUUGAUUGAAUUCCUCCAAAUGGGUUUCAGGGUCCUUUUAAAGGGAAGGAGUUGUGGGGUUUUUUUUUCCUGUAAGCUCUUUGAGUUAGGAAAUGAACGUCAUUAUAACCUUUUUAACCUCACUUUAAUACAGAUUGGCUGCUUUGCUCUUGUGCUGUGUUUAUCUGGCCUGGAAUCAUCGCUUGGUAAUGCAGUGUCCUCCGAUAGCUAUGCUACACCAGUAAUCUUGUCUGUUGUUGCAGACUUAGUCACCGUUGUCUUAAAAACCAAAACCAACACCUUCUACUUAUCUUACAGAUUAAAUUUUAAAUAAAAAACUGGUUUUUUGAAGUGAUGUUUGAGCCUAAUGUUUGUUUUUUUUGCUAGUUUUUUGUGUGCAUGACUGGGUGUGUGUGUGUUUCUGUGUGGAGCUGUGGUUUGUAUGGAGCUGUGGGUGACCUGUGGAGAGGAGCUUUUGACAGUAUUUUCAGUCGGCCUUCUGGGCUGAAUUCAGGUUGAGGAAGAAAGGGCUUUCCCUCGUUGUGCCGUACUCAAGAUCCGGUUGCCGAUGGCAAUUGUCACACUGGCGGCUGAUUGGGUGACUGACAGGAUCUUGGGCCCAGUAGCCAUUUGGUUUAAGACAGAACAGCGCACUGACUGCAGGAAUUACCAGUUCUGAUGUUCCAGUUUGGUGUCCAGCGCCCUCUAGUGGCUACUUCAGUGGCAUGCACAUCUAAGAACCGGAUUGAAUGUGAAAUUUGGUAAGAUUGGUGAAAUGUCUCAGGAACGUUUGGUACCUGUGCCAAACCUCAGCAACAUAAAGUGCUGUACAUUGGUGUAAUUCAACAACAAAGGCAAGAUUAAAUGAACAAGUUUCUAAGAGCAUUCUUUGUUGUUAGCUGUGUUUUCACUGGUGGAAGACGAUUGUGCCUUUAUUAAGGUCUGCUGUUAUAACUAUUCGCUGUAUGUGGUAGCAAUACUGUAUAUUCAUAUACUAGGGGUAUGUCCUCCAAUGUCCUGGCCAAAUUCCCAAGAAACUGAUUUCACAUACAACCUUUUAAGUAUUAUAUUUGCAAAGAGAAAAGGUAUAUAGUCAAACAUUCAAAAGGUUUUCAAAUGGACCACAUUUUCUACACUGGAUGACUCUACUAAAGUUACGCCGUGUCUUGCAUGUUGGAAAUGAUCAUUCAGGUAGUUUUUUUUUUUUUUGUUGUUGUUUGUUUGGGUCAUCGCAACUGGAGGAGUGAAGUUACUGUGCUGAAUGUGUUGAUGUCCGUAAAUAAGGAAACUGGAGUGUGAGUAAAACUGUAUUUAUACAGCACCUUUCAAGAACAAAUUCACCAAGAGGAAUAAAAUUAAAACCGACAUAAGGACAGAAACACCACAUAUAUAAAAAAUGAAAGCCAGUCUUCAUAGGUGAUUAUGCAGCUCGCCUGUUAUUAUUGAGCUGAAUCAUUCCAUAUCCUAUCCCAUAUUCCAUAACCAAGAUAUGAGACUACAGCAGAAAAAAAAACAUAUCACUUUCUUGUUUUCAACUUCUAAGAAAUGACCUGGGACACUACCUGAAAUGAAUGGGUUAAUCGAUCUCAUUUUAUGUACAUUUUGUACAUUGACAAGAUG